This 527-nucleotide ribosomal RNA is filed under the name Thodelmus addahensis. RNAcentral describes it as "partial large subunit ribosomal RNA". It matches the Rfam family "Bacterial large subunit ribosomal RNA", at positions 1825 to 2608 of the family's 2925-position model. Lineage: Eukaryota; Metazoa; Arthropoda; Insecta; Hemiptera; Reduviidae. The record is from RNAcentral.
AACAUGUCCUUUAGGUGUUUAUAUAAGGUUUAACCUGCCCAAUGAUUGAUUAUUGAAUGGCCGCGGUAUUUUAACCGUGCUAAGGUAGCAUAAUCAUUUGUCUUUUAAUUAAGGGCUAGAAUGAAAGGUUGGACGAGGUAUUAGCUUUCUUUAAUUUAAUUAUUGAAUUUAAUUUUUGAGUCAAAAAGCUUAAAUAUAACUAUGGGACGAGAAGACCCUAUAGAUCUUAACACUAAAUUUUAGUUUUAGUAUUUAGGGAUUGUUUUAUUAAAAUUAGGAUUAAUGUUUGAUUGGGGUGAUUAUAGAAUAAUAACAACUUCUAUUUAAUAUAUAUCAUUAAUUAAUGUUUUGUUGAUCCAAUUUUAUUGAUUAAAAGAUUAAGUUACCUUAGGGAUAACAGCGUAAUUUAAUCGGAGAGUUCAUAUCGAUGAUUAAGUUUGCGACCUCGAUGUUGGAUUAAAAUAAGUAGUAGGCGUAGCAGUUUACUAACUGGGUCUGUUCGACCCUUGAAUUUUUACAUGAUCUGA